This is a long non-coding RNA of Eriocheir sinensis (Chinese mitten crab), 967 nucleotides long. RefSeq lists it as uncharacterized. Lineage: Eukaryota; Metazoa; Arthropoda; Malacostraca; Decapoda; Varunidae. The record is from RefSeq and is a predicted model, not a curated record. The transcript is spliced from 3 exons.
UUAGGUUCACGGUACAGAAGAAAGGUCAAACUACCACCAGGGUCAUAAAACUACUCCUGGAAAUGCCCACAACUCCCACGAAAGCCUUGUCAAAUAGGUGUUCUUGGGUGGCAAAAUAUCUUAUAAUACGAACCAUUGUGUUUGUAGCUAAGGGCGGUAUUAAAACACUUUCGCUUCUCACACCAGUAUUUCUAAAGGUCAAAGAGGGGGUCAAUUGGGUUCUUAUGAGUGUUUCUUUAGGUUCACGGUACAGAAGAAAGGCCAAACUACCACCAGGGUCAUAAAACUACUCCUGGAAAUGCCCACAACUCCUACGAAAGCCUUUAAACACUUUCGCUUCUCACACCAGUAUUUCUAAAGGCCAGAGGGGGUCAGCUGGGUUCUAAUGAGUGUUUCUUCAGGUUCACGGUCAAACUACCACCAGGGUCAUCAAACUACUACUGGAAAUGCUGGGUUCUAAUGUGUGUUUAUUGAGGUUCACGGUACAGAAGAAAGGUCAAACUACCACCAGGGUCAUCAAACUACUACUGGAAAUGCUGGGUUCUAAUGUGUGUUUCUUUAGGUUCACGGUACAGAAGAAAGGUCAAACUACCACCAGGGUCAUCAAACUACUCCUGGAAAUGCCCACAGCUCCCACGAAAGCCUUGUCAAAUGAGUGUUUCUUUAGGUUCACGGUACAGAAGAAAGGUCAAACUACCACCAGGGUCAUAAAACUACUCCUGGAAAUGCCCACAACUCCCACGAAAGCCUUGUCAAAUGAGUGUUUCUUUAGGUUCACGGUACAGAAGAAAGGUCAAACUACCACCAGGGUCAUCAAACUACUACUGGAAAUGCUGGGUUCUAAUGUGUGUUUAUUGAGGUUCACGGUACAGAAGAAAGGUCAAACUACCACCAGGGUCAUAAAACUACUCCUGGAAAUGCCCACAACUCCCACGAAAGCCUUGUCAAAUAGGUGUACUCGGGCGAC